This 459-nucleotide ribosomal RNA is filed under the name uncultured bacterium. RNAcentral describes it as "bacterial SSU rRNA". It matches the Rfam family "Bacterial small subunit ribosomal RNA", at positions 340 to 790 of the family's 1533-position model. The record is from RNAcentral.
UACGGAAGCAGCAGUGGGGAAUAUUGCACAAUGGGCGCAAGCCUGAUGCAGCCAUGCCGCGUGUGUGAAGAAGGCCUUCGGGUUGUAAAGCACUUUCAGCGAGGAGGAAGGGUUCGGUGUUAAUAGCACCGUGCAUUGACGUUACUCGCAGAAGAAGCACCGGCUAACUCCGUGCCAGCAGCCGCGGUAAUACGGAGGGUGCAAGCGUUAAUCGGAAUUACUGGGCGUAAAGCGCACGCAGGCGGUUUGUUAAGUCAGAUGUGAAAUCCCCGAGCUUAACUUGGGAACUGCAUUUGAAACUGGCAAGCUAGAGUCUUGUAGAGGGGGUAGAAUUCCAGGUGUAGCGGUGAAAUGCGUAGAGAUCUGGAGGAAUACCGGUGGCGAAGGGCGGCCCCGUGGACAAAGACUGACGCUCAGGGUGCGAAAGCGUGGGGAGCAAACAGGAUUAAGGAUACCCGU